This is a long non-coding RNA of Gallus gallus (chicken), 1105 nucleotides long. Lineage: Eukaryota; Metazoa; Chordata; Aves; Galliformes; Phasianidae. The record is from Ensembl.
AAUAUUUAGAUAUUUUAGUUUUGUGGAAUAAUGAAAUAGGAAGCUUCCAGAAAAGUUCUUCUGCUAUUUAAAUGCUGAAAAAAUGUAAGGCAUCAUUCUGCUACACAAACUAAAAAAAAUAAAAAAAAAAUGUGCAGUUGUAUUUCUCUGGUUCUGAAUAUUACUACUGUGUCAUAAGUCUUUGCAGGCUGGCUGGUGAGUUAUCAAAGUUUGGAGCAAAUAUAAAUGAUGCUGCAUAAAUCUUCUUUUCUGUUCAGUGGGCAGUUCUGUUGAGUACCCAAAGCUCUGCAGUUCCGGAUACAAACUGGCAGCAACCACAUCCAUAAUUCACAAUUUCUUUUUUCUUAAUAUGAAAUGUAUUUUAAUAUAUUUACUAAAAGGCUUGUCUCAAAUAAAGACCUUGGAUACAGUUAAAAACUAAUCUUAAAAGAUUUUUAAAAGGGUACUGAUAGCUUCUUUUCUUUCUCAAGAUUUAUAUGACAAUACCAGAAAUUUAGUCCAAUGUUUGUGUAUAUUUCUUGUGGAUGCAUAAGCUAUAAAACUAUCAUGUGUGCAAAUGACAUAAAACAAUAUGUUUAUACAACUCUUAUGCUUUAACCAUUCCCUCUCUCUCACCUUAUGCAGUUAAGGCUAAGACAAUAAGCUGGAAACCAAAAGUUCAAACAUGCUAUUCCCCUUAUCACUUUAUAUCUUCAGCGUCUUUUUGUUUCGAGUGCACCAUUUUAACGCUUAGUGAAUGUUCUUCUCUGUAUAUUUGCACAAUAAAUGGUGCAGCCAACACUAUGUCAAUAAAAUAACACAGUAAACUAGCUUUGUGUUGUUACAAAAUUCACUGGCUUAUAAAGGGUUAAUCUUUUCUACUGCCUCUGUAUCAAGUGUUUUUCCAUUUAGCAUUUACUGAUAUGCAAUGCAGUGACAAUUCAAAGGGGUGGAAAAUCAGGGUUCUUUCUGCAGACAACGUGCUUUAGUCCAUUCAUAGCUGGUACUCCAUCUGUUGUUAUAGAAACCAGUUUCAUUAUUAUGACUUCCUGGCUCUCUCUAUCUCUCUCAUCGAGCUAGCUAUUUUAACUACAAUCACUACCAUGAUGUCAAAAGGCUUAACAGU